GCCCAUUAAAGCGGUACGCGAGCUGGGUUCAGAACGUCGUGAGACAGUUCGGUCCCUAUCCGUCGUGGGCGUAGGAAAUUUGAGAGGAGCUGUCCUUAGUACGAGAGGACCGGGAUGGACAUACCUCUGGUGUACCAGUUGUCGUGCCAACGGCAUAGCUGGGUAGCUAUGUGUGGACGGGAUAAGUGCUGAAAGCAUCUAAGCAUGAAGCCCCCCUCAAGAUGAGAUUUCCCAACUUCGGUUAUAAGAUCCCUCAAAGAUGAUGAGGUUAAUAGGUUCGAGGUGGAAGCAUGGUGACAUGUGGAGCUGACGAAUACUAAU
RNAcentral lists this ribosomal RNA (321 nucleotides) under Staphylococcus aureus. Its description in RNAcentral is "partial 23S ribosomal RNA". It matches the Rfam family "Bacterial large subunit ribosomal RNA", at positions 2583 to 2905 of the family's 2925-position model. The record is from RNAcentral. Lineage: Bacteria; Bacillati; Bacillota; Bacilli; Caryophanales; Staphylococcaceae.